RNAcentral lists this unclassified non-coding RNA (343 nucleotides) under soil metagenome. RNAcentral's name for it is "partial contains 5.8S ribosomal RNA, internal transcribed spacer 2, and large subunit ribosomal RNA". The stretch from base 1 to 120 matches the Rfam family "5.8S ribosomal RNA", at positions 35 to 154 of the family's 154-position model. The record is from RNAcentral.
GAUGAAGAACGCAGCGAAAUGCGAUAAGUAAUGUGAAUUGCAGAAUCCAGUGAAUCAUCGAAUCUUUGAACGCACAUUGCGCCCGCCAGCAUUCUGGCGGGCAUGCCUGUUCGAGCGUCAUUUCAACCCUCGACCUCCCCUUGGGGAGGUCGGCGUUGGGGACCGGCAGCACACCGCCGGCCCUGAAAUGGAGUGGCGGCCCGUCCGCGGCGACCUCUGCGUAGUAAUACAGCUCGCACCGGAACCCCGACGCGGCCACGCCGUAAAACAACCAACUUCUGAACGUUGACCUCGAAUCAGGUAGGACUACCCGCUGAACUUAAGCAUAUCAAUAAGCGGAGGA